UAAGGUUUUCUAAAACGCUGAUGGUUUUUCUCGCUCCCUGACGUGGGACUGCGUCCCGGUGGCUCCCUCUUUCCUGCGGCUCCCUCUUCCCUGCAGCGUGGGAUGGAAAUCUCCACGCUGAAUUCAGCUGAGGCCCCUCCAGACCCGAGGAAAGCAAAAGGUACCCCAAAGACAGAUGGUGACUGAGCUCAGGGCAACUGGCUCAUGACCAACCCCCAGCAAAUGGAAUAAAACUGAUAUCCUGCCUGCCUUGCUGGUAACUUCUUCAGAUUUGUCUGCUGGGAAACAACUGGAGGCUUCUGUGGAUGGAAUUAAAAACCGCCCUCCUAGAGACGUAAAAUGUGAUCUGGUCCAAACUCAUAAACUAAGACAUCCUGGGCAGGGACAUCCCUUUUGAGUCCCUCCAUCCCGCCCAUAAAACGGAGCCCGUUCCCCCAGCAUCUGCCUGCUGUUCCUCUCUCUAAGGACCCUCUUCCAGUGGCUGCAGUUUCAUUUCUUCUUCACUCUUUUAAUUUCUUUGCAGGGGAACAAUUUUCAAAAGCAAAAUUGUACAUAAGAGAGACGCUUGUGCCACGUUAAGGAGGAGAUUUUAAAUGCUCAACAGCCAGGAAAAUUCAGAGUUAAGGUUUCCACAGCAACUUCGGCUCUGCCCUCCCGCGCAUUACAAUAGGGGCUUUGGUGCCCAUUAUCACAGGACACUGGGCAACCCCAGCUGCUGUUCAGUAAUCCAUGACACAGAACUGACCGAGCUGGACCGUGGCAGGGGCAAGCAGCGUUUCGGGUGGGCAGCGGAGAGCACGGCAGCAGCGGGAGACACCGGAGCAUCACCCUAGAAACCAGGAAUGCGGGAGCCAGGGGGCAUCUUGAAGGCACUGAUCCAGCUGCUGGAGAGGAGAGGCUGUGCUGCAGCUUGGCGGGGCGGGGGAAGAGCUGGGGAAAGCAUGGGGAAAGCAGACUUGUCCGCUCUCCUCCUGGCCUCAACCCUGGCCGAAGGGCAGCUCCCCACCAGCCCCACGCGCCAGGGGAGAGCACCUGCCCGCAGCCGAGAGCCGAGUUCCCACCAGCCCUGCAAGCAUCGAGGGAAAAAACCUCCCCGUGGAUCAAAAGGCUGUGCAAGCCCGUUCUCGCCACCCCGCGCAUCUCCGUUUGAGAUAAAGACGGGCGGUUCGUCGGGCUCCCACCGUUUCCUCCCCUCGCCCUGUGAGAACUCGGCUCCUCCAGCACCCGGCUCCCCUCCCUGCCUUUAAAUCUAGCUGUACAAACUUGUGGUUGUUUGCUUAGCCUGUGCUCUUGGGCUAGAAACAGCAAUAAAUCCCCACACCGCCCUGCUCCUAAAAGCACAUAAAUCAAAUUGUGCUUUUUUUUAUAAUCCCCUUCCCUUUGAGACUGAUUAUUGAUCCCUAUAACUGUUGAAGAUUUAUUGCAUAAUAGUGAUCCAUCCUUGAUAACUGGAUAAUCUCCUAAGGGUUCAGGGGCUUUUGCCAUCAGUAGCUCAUGCAGAUGAAGCAAAGCUUCAUAAAUACAUUUUUUUUUUGCUUCUUUGCUGGAAUGGGCCCUCGCCAGUGAUCAGGUGCAGACUACAAAUAGCCUUCCAUGUCAUGUCAUAUAUGCACUGAACAAUGCCAUUGCAAUGCAUAUGCCCAAAGGGGCACAACUGAAACGACCAGCUAAGGAUUAUUUAUUUUCAGCUGUGGUUUUGCUUUCUCUUUUCCUGUUUUUUUCUUUUUCCCUCCCUAACUGUUUUGCUUUCUUGCGCUACACAAUGCAGAAGCGGUUUUGUUGCCUUGUUUUUAAAGGGAUUCUUUUUCCUGCUUCUUUUUUCUGUUCUCGAUGGGUAAUUAUACCCCUCUCCUCACCGAGGUAUCUGAAUGUCUUCCAGUGGUGCAUUAAAUAGUG
Long non-coding RNA from Chroicocephalus ridibundus (black-headed gull), 1896 nucleotides. RefSeq lists it as uncharacterized. NCBI's taxonomy places the organism in Eukaryota, Metazoa, Chordata, Aves, Charadriiformes, Laridae. The record is from RefSeq and is a predicted model, not a curated record. The transcript is spliced from 4 exons.